AUACAGAAAAAAAAUAAAAAAUAAAUAAUAAGCUAGGCGCUAUAGCGCAGGGACAGACGCCAUAACACCCGAAGUUGAAUUUUGAAGAAAAAAAAUGCCACUUAAAUGGCACAUGACCGGCACAUGGGUAUCAAAACUCAUUCUUCACACUAUAAAAUACCAAUCCGAAAAUUUAAACCCCAUCCCCAUUAUUUUUUCUCUCUUAGGUUUUUCAUAGUUCUCAAAACACAAAUCUUCUUCCAAUUCUUUUUCUGGCAGCCGCUAUUCCAAUGGAUUUUCAUUUUUUCCGGUGUCCUCAACAGUCCAAGUCAGCCACACUAACCACUCACCAAGGUUUUACACUUGGAAUGAUAAAUUGAUCAAAUUUUGGAAAACAACAAUCUAUAGAAUAGAGAAAAUUCUACAAGAAAAUAAAGUUGAAACUUCAAGCUUAACUUUGACUAUAUUCUGAUCCAUUUUGGAAAAAGUCAAAACAUGGAAGUUUUAGAUUUCUUUUUCUUCUUUCCAACGCAUCUUGAAUCAACUCAUUUGGAGUUUGUAUGUGAAAGUUAUGCACAUUUUACUGAAAGAUGCUGAAGCUGUCAAAUUUGCUUCAGCAGUCGCGACCACCACUUUCCAUGGUCGCGACUAGGAGGCCAGACAGCAAGUUUAAUUUCGUAUUUUGCCUAUGGUCGCGACUAGGCUUUAUGCAGUCACGACCAGGGGCGAAACAUGAGAUUUUUUGCCAGUUUUUGACUUUUUCAGAGGUAGCAACCCUAAUUUCUAUUUAAGGGGCUCGUGUUUUAGAAUGAAAGGAGGCAGAAAUUGGACCCAAAAGUGAAAGAAGGAGGCAUAAGAAGCAAUGGUGGCGAUCCGGAAUACAAUCACCAACUAGUUCUUUCUUAAACUCUUGAUUUCUAUGUUAAUUUCUGUUUUAGUUUUGAUUAUGGAUGUUAUUAUGGAUUUUAUGAACUAAACUCCUAUUUGGGGAGAUGAUGAAUGUUGAUUGAAAUUACUUUUGGUUAA
Cannabis sativa is the source of this 1005-nucleotide long non-coding RNA. RefSeq lists it as uncharacterized. The transcript has 2 exons. NCBI's taxonomy places the organism in Eukaryota, Viridiplantae, Streptophyta, Magnoliopsida, Rosales, Cannabaceae. The record is from RefSeq and is a predicted model, not a curated record.